GCCGGGCGUGGUGGCGUGUGCCUAUAGUCCCAGCUACUCGGGAGGCUGAGGGGGGAGGCUCUCUUGAGUCCAGGAGCUCUGGGCUGUAGUGCGCUAUGCCGAUCGGGUAUCCGAACUAAGUUCAGCAUCAACAUGGUAACCUUCUGGGAGCAGGGGACCACCAGGUUGCCUAAGGAGGGGUAAACCGGCCCAGGUCGGAAACGGAACAGUUCAAAACUCCCGUGCUGAUCAGUAGUGGGAUUGCACCUGUGAAUAGCCACUGCACUCCAGCCUGGGCAACAUAGUGAGACCUCGUCUCU
RNAcentral lists this signal recognition particle RNA (299 nucleotides) under Saimiri boliviensis boliviensis (Bolivian squirrel monkey). Its description in RNAcentral is "Metazoan signal recognition particle RNA (ENSSBOG00000000336.1)". It matches the Rfam family "Metazoan signal recognition particle RNA". From Rfam's summary of the family: The signal recognition particle (SRP) is a universally conserved ribonucleoprotein. It is involved in the co-translational targeting of proteins to membranes. Lineage: Eukaryota; Metazoa; Chordata; Mammalia; Primates; Cebidae. The record is from RNAcentral.